This 450-nucleotide ribosomal RNA is filed under the name uncultured bacterium. RNAcentral's name for it is "bacterial SSU rRNA". It matches the Rfam family "Bacterial small subunit ribosomal RNA", at positions 354 to 796 of the family's 1533-position model. The record is from RNAcentral.
GUGGGGAAUAUUGGACAAUGGGCGAAAGCCUGAUCCAGCCAUGCCGCGUGUGUGAAGAAGGUCUUCGGAUUGUAAAGCACUUUAAGUUGGGAGGAAGGGUAGUAACCUAAUACGUUGCUACUUUGACGUUACCGACAGAAUAAGCACCGGCUAACUUCGUGCCAGCAGCCGCGGUAAUACGAAGGGUGCAAGCGUUAAUCGGAAUUACUGGGCGUAAAGCGCGCGUAGGUGGUUCAGUAAGUUGGAAGUGAAAUCCCCGGGCUCAACCUGGGAACUGCUUUCAAAACUGCUGAGCUAGAGUACGGUAGAGGGUGGUGGAAUUUCCUGUGUAGCGGUGAAAUGCGUAGAUAUAGGAAGGAACACCAGUGGCGAAGGCGACUACCUGGACUGAUACUGACACUGAGGUGCGAAAGCGUGGGGAGCAAACAGGAUUAGAAACCCGGGUAGUCC